UCAGUAUGAAUAUACCGGUUCUCGUUAGAUCACCGAAGUUAAGCAUCAUUGGGCGCGGUCAGUACUUGGGUGGGUGACCACCUGGGAACACUGCGUGCCGUU
This 102-nucleotide ribosomal RNA is filed under the name Caerostris darwini. The record is from RNAcentral. Lineage: Eukaryota; Metazoa; Arthropoda; Arachnida; Araneae; Araneidae.